GGUUCCGUUGUGAAAGGCGCUGUAAGGCGCCACUAAAAGAUGAGGGUGCGGAACAUUAGUUAGUUGGUGAGGUAAUGGCCCACCAAGACUAUGAUGUUUAGCCGGGUCGAGAGACUGAACGGCCACAUUGGGACUGAGAUACGGCCCAAACUCCUACGGGAGGCAGCAGUAGGGAAUAUUCCACAAUGAGCGAAAGCUUGAUGGAGCGACACAGCGUGCACGAUGAAGGUCUUCGGAUUGUAAAGUGCUGUUAUAAGGGAAGAACAUUUGCAAUAGGAAAUGAUUGCAGACUGACGGUACCA
This 302-nucleotide ribosomal RNA is filed under the name uncultured bacterium. Its description in RNAcentral is "bacterial SSU rRNA". It matches the Rfam family "Bacterial small subunit ribosomal RNA", at positions 191 to 480 of the family's 1533-position model. The record is from RNAcentral.